Molecule: unclassified non-coding RNA, 151 nt
Filed under: Xenodactylaria thailandica
Lineage: Eukaryota; Fungi; Ascomycota; Sordariomycetes; Hypocreales
Description: partial internal transcribed spacer 2
Source: RNAcentral
CAACCCUCAAGCUUAGCUUGGUGUUGGGAGACUGUUACCUAGUAACAUCCCCCGAAAUGCAUUGGCGUCUACGUCGGCGACCCUUUACGUAGUAAACUUAUUCUCGUAUUGGCGACCGGCGCAGCCUGCCGUUAAACCCCCAACUUUUCUA